RNAcentral lists this long non-coding RNA (2363 nucleotides) under Brassica napus (rape). Its description in RNAcentral is "long non-coding RNA (BNAP_LNC023416)". Lineage: Eukaryota; Viridiplantae; Streptophyta; Magnoliopsida; Brassicales; Brassicaceae. The record is from RNAcentral.
CCAGUUUCCUAGUUUGGAAAUAGGACAGCUUCUUCGUCGUUCCAAUCAAACCAGGAUGAAUCUCUUUGUGAGAAGCUUGAUUUCGAUAUAUAAAGUGGCGGAGAAUCACCAGGAAGUUGAAUAAAUUUCAUAGGAGUUGGCAAGAAGAAGUUAUCCAAUUUUCAAAUCAGUUGAUUUCAGUUUCCCAGUUUGGGAAUAGGACAGCUUCUUCGUCGUUCCAUUCAAACCAAGAUGAAUCACUAGUUUCCCAGUUUGGGAAUUGGACAACUUCUUCGUCGUUCCAAUCACACCACGAUGAAUCACUUUGUAAGAAGCUUGAUUUGGAUACUUAAAAUGGUGGUCACACCACGAUGAAUCACUUUGUAAGAAGCUUGAUUUGGAUAUAUAAAGUGGUGUAGAAUCACAAGGAAGUUGAAUAAAUCUCAUAGGAGCUGGGAUGAAGAAAUUAUCCCACUUUCAAAUCAGGUGAUUCCAGUUUCCCAGUUUGGGAAUAGGAAAGCUUCUGCAUCGUUCCAAUCAAACCACGAUGAAUCACUUUGUAAGAGGCUUGAUUUGGAUACAUAAAGUGGUGUAGAAUCACCAGGAAGUUGAAUAAAUCUCAUAGGAGCUGGGAUGAAGAAGUUAUCCCACAUUCAAACCAGGUGAUUCCAGUUUUGCAGUUUGGGAAUAGGACAGCUUUUGUGUCGUUCCAAUCAAACCAGGAUGAAUGACUUUGUAAAAAGCUUUAUUUGGAUACAUAAAGUGGUCGAGAAUCACCAGGAAGUUGAAUAAAUCUCAUAGGAGCUGGGAUGAAGAAGUUAUCCCACUUUCAAAUCAGGUGAUUCCAGUUUCCCAGUAUGGGAAUAGGACAGCUUCUUCGUCGUUCCAAUCAAACCACAAUGAGUCACUUUGUAAGAAGCUUGAAUUGGAUACAUAAAAUGGUGUAGAAUCACCAGGAAGUUGAAUAAAUCUCAUAGGAGCUGGGAUGAAGAAGUUAUCCCACUUUCAAAUCAGGUGAUUCUAGUUUCGCAGUUUGGGAAUAGGACAGCUUUUAUGUCGUUCCAAUUUAAACCAGGAUGAAUCACUUUGUAAGAAGCUUCAUUUGUAUACAUAAAGUGGUGGAGAAUCACCGGGAAGUUGAAUAAAUCUCAUAACAGCUGGGAUGAAGAAGUUAUCCCACUUUCAAAUCAGGUGAUUCCAGUUUCCCAGUUUCGGAACAAGACAGCUUCUGCGUCGUUCCAAUCAAACCAGGAUGAAUCACUUUGUAAGAAGCUCGCCAAUUUGGGAAUAGGACAGCUUCUGCGUCGUUCCAAUCAAACCAGAAUGAAUCACUUUGUAAGAAGCUUGAUUUGGAUACAUAAAAAAAGUGGUGUAGAAUCACCAGGAAGUUGAAUAAAUCUCAUAGGAGCUGGGAUGAAGAAGUUAUCCCACUUUCAAAUCAGGUGAUUACAGUUUUCCAGUUUGGGAAUAGGACAGCUUCUUCAUCGUUUGGGAUGAAUGAGUUAUCCCACUUUCAAAUCAGGUGAUUCCAGUUUCCCAAUUUGGGAAUAAGACAGCUUCUGCGUCGUUCCAAUCAAACCAGAAUGAAUCACUUUGUAAGAAGCUUGAUUUGGAUACAUAAAGUGUUGGAGAAUCACCAGGAAGUUGAAUUAAUCUCAUAGGAGUUGGGAUGAAUGAGUUAUCCCACUUUCAAAUCAGGUGAUUCCAGUUUCUCAGUUGGGAACAAGACAGCUUUUGCGUCGUUCCAAUCAAACCAGGAUGAAUCACUUUGUAAGAAGCUCCAUUUGGAUACUUAAAAUGGUGGAGAAUCACCAGGAAGUUGAAUAAAUCUCAUAGGAGCUGGGAUGAAGAAGUUAUCCCAGUUUCAAAUCAGGUGAUUCCAGUUUCCCAGUUUGGGAAUAGGACAGCUUCUUCGUCGUUCCAAUCAAACCACGAUGAAUCACUUUGUAAGAAGCUUGAUUUAAAUACAUAAAGUGGUGGAGAAUCACCAGUAAAUUGAAUAAAUCUCCUAGGGGUUGGGAUGAAGAAGUUAUCCCACUUUCAAAUCAGGUGAUUCCAGUUUUGCAGUUUGGGAAUAGGACAGCUUCUACGUCGUUCCAAUUAAACCACGAUGAAUCACUUUGUAAGAAGAUUGAUUUGGAUACAUAAAGUGUUGUAGAAUCACCAGGAAGUUGAAUAAAUCUCAUAGGAGCUGGGAUGAAGAAGUUAUCCCACUUUCAAAUCAGGUGAUCCCAGUUUCCCAAUUUGGGAAUAGGACAGCUUCUGCGUCGUUCCAAUCAAACCAGAAUGAAUCACUUUGUAAGAAGCUUGAUUUGGAUACAUAAAAAAAGUGGUGUAGAAUCACCAGGAAGUUGAAUAAAUCUCAUAGGAGCUGGGAUGAAGAA